This 555-nucleotide ribosomal RNA is filed under the name uncultured bacterium. RNAcentral's name for it is "partial 16S ribosomal RNA". It matches the Rfam family "Bacterial small subunit ribosomal RNA", at positions 355 to 900 of the family's 1533-position model. The record is from RNAcentral.
UAGGGAAUCUUCGGCAAUGGGGGCAACCCUGACCGAGCAACGCCGCGUGAGUGAAGAAGGUUUUCGGAUCGUAAAGCUCUGUUGUAAGUCAAGAACGGGUGUGAGAGUGGAAAGUUCACACUGUGACGGUAGCUUACCAGAAAGGGACGGCUAACUACGUGCCAGCAGCCGCGGUAAUACGUAGGUCCCGAGCGUUGUCCGGAUUUAUUGGGCGUAAAGCGAGCGCAGGCGGUUUGAUAAGUCUGAAGUUAAAGGCUGUGGCUCAACCAUAGUUCGCUUUGGAAACUGUCAAACUUGAGUGCAGAAGGGGAGAGUGGAAUUCCAUGUGUAGCGGUGAAAUGCGUAGAUAUAUGGAGGAACACCGGUGGCGAAAGCGGCUCUCUGGUCUGUAACUGACGCUGAGGCUCGAAAGCGUGGGGAGCGAACAGGAUUAGAUACCCUGGUAGUCCACGCCGUAAACGAUGAGUGCUAGGUGUUGGAUCCUUUCCGGGAUUCAGUGCCGCAGCUAACGCACUAAGCACUCCGCCUGGGGGAGUACGACCGCAAGGUUGAAAC